UUUGAACUUAAUUUAGGAAAAAAAGUGAAGAAUAUAGGGAAGAGGCUCAACUUCUGCCAAUGCUCAACGUCACUUCGUCAUACAACACAACCUUAUUACUUAUUACAUCACACAUCCUGCGAGAGUUGCGUCAUGUUUUUUUCAGCACUGUUUUUCGCACACACACAAAAUUAUAAUGUAUUUAGUACCUAAUAUGUAACACCACCCUUGGGGAAACCCCUCCUUGUGGCAUGCCUCAACACAUUGACGCGGCUUGCAUAAAGGGGUGGUAUAGCUCACGCUGUAUACUCUGCAUAUCUUGGUAUGUGAGCCUACAAAACAACACGAAAAUAUGGUAUUUAAAAAAUUAGAUCCAACGAUGUUCUAUCGAGAAACAACAUACAAAUAUGGGCAUGGAGUAUGAAUUUCACUUAUUUCUUUCAAAUAAAAAAAAUGCAUUAAGGAAGUGUCUUUUUCUUCAUGUAAUUUUUUGAGGAAACGCUUACCAGGAACUAAAAGAACUGGAAUGUGUAGUAGAAGGAACAACAGAGUUGACACCUUGACACGUCCCAUGUCUUCAAGAAUAAACAGUCACAAAGGAAAGUUAGCAAAAUAAGAAAGAGGUACAACAGAAUAGGCUACGCCAUAAUAUAUAGCGUGGAAAGAUGAG
RNAcentral lists this long non-coding RNA (649 nucleotides) under Triticum aestivum (bread wheat). RNAcentral's name for it is "long non-coding RNA (TAES_LNC024885)". Lineage: Eukaryota; Viridiplantae; Streptophyta; Magnoliopsida; Poales; Poaceae. The record is from RNAcentral.